Molecule: long non-coding RNA, 769 nt
Filed under: Homo sapiens (human)
Lineage: Eukaryota; Metazoa; Chordata; Mammalia; Primates; Hominidae
Description: non-protein coding RGMB-AS1:11
Source: RNAcentral
GGAAAUCUGAAUGUCACCCGCGGUCCGGAGCAGAUAGGAUGGGCUGGGAAGGUACCCGCGAACUGCCGCCGGAAUUCGCUGGCAGCUGUGCGAGGCUCAGUGAGGAAAAAGACAAUUGUCUACAAAGAAAGAGGCUGCCAAGUGGAGACAGAAAAGCAGUUAUGAGACUGAUGAUAGAUUCCAAUUUGUUAUCGAAAGGAAGGAGGAGACCUGAACAGUACAUCCGGAGAAUCCAGCAAAGCAUACUACGGCAUGAACGUGCAAGUGGACAGAAUUAAAACACAUGCCAGAAACACUAAUGGAUUCUAAACAAGAUGCAGUUUCAUUUCCUGAGCCUAUACGUGAUGUUUUUAACUGUUCUCCAGUUAAUAUGUCUCCAUUUCCAGAAAUCUAACAGGAGAAUCUCUGACUGCUUAACAGAUCACCUAAGCUUGCGAUUUGUGCAAUCCUUUCUAGAGUAAGGGCUCCCCGGCUGCUCCCCGGCCACUGUGUACCCAAAGCAGCGGCUGAAAUAGCCCGGAGUCCAACAGCUCAGCGUCAAGCAGCUCGUGGCAAACGCAGCCGCCGGUCUUGACUGCCAUCGCCCAAGGGGUUCCUCUGGGCUCUCCCGCGAGCCAACAGCCGACCUCUCUCCAGCCUAGUCUGGGAAACUCCAGCCAACCCAGGAUCCCAUUUUGUAGUCCCGGGCAGACCCGAAACCCCUGAAAGAACUCCACUCCAGAAGACGCCAGAACAAGUUCCCACGAAUUUCAUGGGCGCCCUUCACAUG